Molecule: ribosomal RNA, 274 nt
Filed under: uncultured bacterium
Lineage: Bacteria
Description: partial 16S ribosomal RNA
Rfam family: Bacterial small subunit ribosomal RNA
Source: RNAcentral
AUACGGAGGGGGCGAGCGUUGUUCGGAUUUACUGGGCGUAAAGGGCGCGUAGGCGGCUGCACAUGUCAGGGGUGAAAGGCCUGGGCUCAACCUGGGAAUUGCCCUUGAAACUGUGCGGCUCGAGUCCGAGAGAGGAUGGCGGAAUUCCCAGUGUAGAGGUGAAAUUCGUAGAUAUUGGGAAGAACACCGGUGGCGAAGGCGGCCAUCUGGCUCGGCACUGACGCUGAGGCGCGAAAGCGUGGGGAGCAAACAGGAUUAGAAACCCCAGUAGUCC